Molecule: long non-coding RNA, 1208 nt
Filed under: Piliocolobus tephrosceles (Ugandan red Colobus)
Lineage: Eukaryota; Metazoa; Chordata; Mammalia; Primates; Cercopithecidae
Description: lncRNA (ENSPTEG00000003185.1)
Source: RNAcentral
UGAUUGAAGAAAUAAAGUAUUACGAGGAGGAAAAAGAAAAUUCUGAACAUGUCAAAAAAAAUAACAAGGAAAAGUAUUUAGAUAUAUUUGGGGUCAUUCGUUCAAGGUGAUAAAAAAAUAAUAAUAAAAAAAAAAAAAUAUAUUGGUACCUAAAUAGAAUAAAUUGAUAGCACAAAAACACAAAUAAUAGUUCUUAGUUCCCUUUGUUAAUAUAUUUUUCAAAAAAAUAAUUUAUUACAAGAUCACUAUAUAUGUAUGUGUUUGUAUGUAGGUAUGCAUGUGUAUGUGUAUGUGUAUGUAUAUAUGUGGGGUUACACUUAUGCAAAUCUGACUAAACUGCUUUAUUCUUAGUAAACGUGUAGAUAAUGACGUUAAAAUUGAAAAUGAGGGUUUUUUUCGUAUAUCUGAUUAUUCGUUAUUUAAAGACACUGUAAAUGUUAUGUGGAAAAUUUUAAACAAGUAAACUUAAAAAAAUAUGUAUACAUGUAUAUGUGUAGGUCUAUAUAUGUAAAGCUUUAAGGUAACGUCAUAAAUUUUAAAGAGAGGAAAUUUUCGAAAAAUAUAUAUAUAUAUAUAUAUAUAUUUUUUUUUUUUUUUUUUAACAGAAUUUGUUAUACCAUAAUACUUUUUACGCAUGAAAAUAUUCUCCUAGUUAAUAAAACAAAAAAAAAAAACAAAAAUAAAUAAAUAAACAAAUAAAUAAAUAAACUCAGUUGUAUACAUAUAUGUGCAUAAUCUAUAUAUACUNNNNNNNNNNGCAGGUUAUUAUUAACAAAGUGAUUGAAGAAAUAAAGUAUUACGAGGAGGAAAAAGAAAAUUCUGAACAUGUCAAAAAAAAUAACAAGGAAAAGUAUUUAGAUAUAUUUGGGGUCAUUCGUUCAAGUAAACGUGUAGAUAAUGACGUUAAAAUUGAAAAUGAGGGUUUUUUUCGUAUAUCUGAUUAUUCGUUAUUUAAAGACACUGUAAAUGUUAUGUGGAAAAUUUUAAACAAGUAAACUUAAAAAAAUAUGUAUACAUGUAUAUGUGUAGGUCUAUAUAUGUAAAGCUUUAAGGUAACGUCAUAAAUUUUAAAGAGAGGAAAUUUUCGAAAAAUAUAUAUAUAUAUAUAUAUAUAUUUUUUUUUUUUUUUUUUAACAGAAUUUGUUAUACCAUAAUACUUUUUACGCAUGAAAAUAUUCUCCUAGUUAAUAAAACAAAAAAAAAAAACA